RNAcentral lists this ribosomal RNA (253 nucleotides) under uncultured bacterium. Its description in RNAcentral is "partial 16S ribosomal RNA". It matches the Rfam family "Bacterial small subunit ribosomal RNA", at positions 524 to 776 of the family's 1533-position model. The record is from RNAcentral.
UACGGAGGGUGCGAGCGUUGUCCGGAAUCACUGGGCGUAAAGGGCGCGUAGGCGGCCUGAUAAGUAGGGGGUGAAAUCCUGCGGCUUAACCGCAGGGCUGCCUUCUAAACUGUCAGGCUCGAGCACAGUAGAGGCAGGUGGAAUUCCUGGUGUAGCGGUGAAAUGCGCAGAUAUCAGGAAGAACACCCGUGGCGAAGGCGGUUCUCUGGGACGGUACUGACGCUGAGACGCGAAAGCGUGGGGAGCGAACAGG